RNAcentral lists this unclassified non-coding RNA (378 nucleotides) under plant metagenome. RNAcentral describes it as "partial contains 5.8S ribosomal RNA, internal transcribed spacer 2, and large subunit ribosomal RNA". The stretch from base 1 to 105 matches the Rfam family "5.8S ribosomal RNA", at positions 50 to 154 of the family's 154-position model. The record is from RNAcentral.
GAAAUGCGAUAAGUGAUGUGAAUUGCAGAAUUCAGUGAAUCAUCGAAUCUUUGAACGCACCUUGCGCUCCUUGGUAUUCCUUGGAGCAUGCCUGUUUGAGUAUCAUGAAAUCUUCAAAGUAAAUCUUUUGUUAACUCAAUUGGUUUCUACUUUGGUAUUGGAGGUCUUUGCAGCUUCACACCUGCUCCUCUUUGUUCAUUAGCUGGAUCUCAGUGUUAUGCUUGGUUCCACUCGGCGUGAUAAGUUAUCUAUCGCUGAGGACACUGUAAAAGGUGGCCAAGGUAAAUGCAGAUGAACCGCUUCUAAUAGUCCAUUGACUUGGACAAUACUUUUAUGAUCUGAUCUCAAAUCAGGUAGGACUACCCGCUGAACUUAAGA